ACGCUCGACACCUACGGAGGCAGCAGUGGGGAAUAUUGCACAAUGGGGGAAACCCUGAUGCAGCGACGCCGCGUGGAGGAAGAAGGUCUUCGGAUUGUAAACUCCUGUUGUUGGGGAAAAAGAGGAUGGUACCCAACAAGGAAGUGACGGCUAACUACGUGCCAGCACGCCGGACGGUAAUCUGGAGGCCGGGUCGUGGACGAAGGC
RNAcentral lists this ribosomal RNA (207 nucleotides) under uncultured bacterium. RNAcentral describes it as "partial 16S ribosomal RNA". It matches the Rfam family "Bacterial small subunit ribosomal RNA", at positions 328 to 536 of the family's 1533-position model. The record is from RNAcentral.